CAGAGGGUGCAAACGUUGUUCGGAAUUACUGGGCGUAAAGCGCGUGUAGGCUGCUCAGAAAGUCGGAUGUGAAAGCCCUGGGCUUAACCUAGGAAGUGCAUUCGAAACUUCUGAGCUUGAGUUCUGGAGAGGAAGGCGGAAUUCUCGGUGUAGAGGUGAAAUUCGUAGAUAUCGAGAGGAACACCGGUGGCGAAGGCGGCCUUCUGGACAGUGACUGACGCUGAGACGCGAAAGCGUGGGGAGCAAACAGGAUUAGAUACCCUGGUAGUCCACGCCGUAAACGAUGGGUGCUAGGUGUCGCGGGCUUUGACCCUGCGGUGCCGUAGCUAACGCAUUAAGCACCCCGCCUGGGGAGUACGGCCGCAAGGCUA
RNAcentral lists this ribosomal RNA (371 nucleotides) under uncultured organism. Its description in RNAcentral is "bacterial SSU rRNA". It matches the Rfam family "Bacterial small subunit ribosomal RNA", at positions 526 to 896 of the family's 1533-position model. The record is from RNAcentral.